Molecule: long non-coding RNA, 732 nt
Organism: Lucilia sericata (common green bottle fly)
Lineage: Eukaryota; Metazoa; Arthropoda; Insecta; Diptera; Calliphoridae
Exons: 3
Source: RefSeq, a predicted model, not a curated record
AAAACAAAUAGUAACACAAUACCAAAAACUGCUAAGUAUAUUUAUUUAAAUAUAUAAAUUAAUUGUUUAAAAUGUGUUUCUGUUAAAUUUUCUGUAAAAACAAAGGAAACAAUAAUUUUUUGCAAAAAAAAAACACAAAUAAAAUUCGUAAGAAAGAAGAUUCGACACAAACUAUUGAUAUGAAGGAAAAAAACAAUACUGAAGAAAACUUACGUCUUGAAUCAAAAAACUUUCAAGACAAAUUGGCAAGGAUAACAGCAGAAAAAGUAACCGAAGUACAACAAAGUGGAGAAUCUGAAGAUCAACCUGUUGUGUCGAAUCAUGCAAUUGCAACCAUAAUAAUAAAGGAAAUUGAUGCAACAAACAUCGAAGUUAUAAAUUCUCCUGAAAGAAACUCUAGAUAGAUGUAUGAAAAACUAUGAAAAAUAUGUAAUACGGCACAUUGAAUGUUGAAGCUCGGAAAGCGUUAACAGAUUUCUACCGAAUAUGCUCAAAAACAUGAAUGGACCCCUAAACUCCGUAUGAUGUUAAUCGAACUAAGACACAAAAAAUAGGAGAACUUAAAAGGCAACAUAAAAAAUAUGUAAUUCCCGUAAAUAGAGUAAAUAAGUAAGACUGAAUACAUUUUAUUUUAUAUGAAUACUUUUUUAUUCUAGACUUAAAAUAUUUAAUAGAUUUGGUUUGAAUCAUGUCUUAAGAUUUUGUUAUUUUAUUUUAUUAUACAUAUAUUUA